AAGAUGGCAUACUAAAAGUCUCAAACAAAACCCUAUAUUUUUUCAUUUUUCUUCCCAUUCUGCCCUUCUUUCCCUACAUCAAACCCUCAGAAUGUUAUCAUCAGUUUCUCAACUCAAUCGUUCCCUUCAAUCAUUGCCCUUUGAUUCCUGAGAUAGAGUCUUUUGUUUACUUCAAUUGAAUGUCCAAAUUGAUGACAUUAAUUGUCAUCAGUUUACUACAACUGAAUAGUCAUCAGUUUACUUCAAUUGAAUAGGAGAUAGAAUUUCACAAUUGCUCAUUCUCUCUUUAUCACUAAUUCAAACCGUAGUGGAUUUUGUAAUAACCCUAAAUCUCCUUAUGUCUUUAUUACUAAUCUAAACCAGAUUUCGAGAGAGUCCAUGUGACACAAGAAGAUUUCGAGAUGGCAGUUGCCAAAGUUGAUUUGAUGAAAAGCAAUUCGGCUUCGAGAAAAGAGAUUGAUUCGGAAAACAACAUCAAAGCGUAUGCUCAUCCUUCUCAGUCGAGGUUUGAUAUCUUGAAAAUUUAUUCAAGAAAAAUGAAUUUAAUGCGCGGCAUUGAUCUGAAAAAAAUUGCUGAGAAAAUGAACGGUGCUUCAGGUGCAGAAUUGAAGGUGGUCUGCACAGAGGCAGGGAUGUUUGCAUUGAGAGAACGGAGAGUCCAUGUGACACAAGAAGAUUUCGAGAUGGCAGUUGCCAAAGUCAUGAAAAAGGAAACCGAAAAAAACAUGUCACUCCGUAAGCUCUGGAAAUAAACGUAACUUUUUUUUUAUUUACUGUAAUUCUGGAAUUAUAUGUCUCGAAACGGAGAUUGAAGAACCACGACAUUAGUCUUUAAACUAUGGUUCAUUCACACACUUUAAAGUUGCAGAGAUAGGUUCACCUUCUCAGUUAAGUUUCUGAUCCCUCACGAAGCCCUUUGCUUAAACCGUGCACGUCGGAGUCCGAUCAGUACAUAUAGACGGAAGGAAAAUCAACUUAGUCGCCACCACCGCUACUCCGAAGGUAUAUGAUUUUCCGUGUUUCUAAUAGGUUAAUUGAUUUCACUUGUUAUGAUUUUUUUUUUAAUAAAGCAAUUAGGAUAUGUAUGCAUUAGAUGUACGGUUCUAAGAUACCUCUACCCAUUUGACCCAUUCCCUUUAAAUCUAUUUUUUAUAUGAUCUGUUUAACAUUAAAAAUAAAUAAAAGUGAUAAACUAUUAAGUAAAUGGGUUGAAAUUGUCACCUUUGCGGGUGGUGAAUAUAGAUAAUGAUAGGAGCAGAAGGUGAAACAAGCAAGAUUCUUGAACUCACUCUCCAGGUAUGAUUUCUCAUCGUAUUUGAUGUUAACUGAUUUAGAAGGGUAUUAAGGGGAUUGCACCCUUUUGAUGCGUGUUUAGAACUGUUUAGGCUUGAUAAUUUGUUAAAAAAGGUGGUUAUUUAUUUUGGCAAUGCAGUUUGAAAAAAAAGGCAGCACCCUUAGAAAGCUAGCAUCUAUGUUAAGAAAGAGGAGGCUCAAGAAAUUAUGAAAAAUCUUUUCAAAAGUAUGGUCAAAUGAGGGAGAAGAGUACAUCAACAAUAACCUGAAUCUGAUAGAGACUUCUGGGGAAAGGAUCAUGUUUGCAUCCUUAACUGCCACAAAAGCUAAAGAUAUUGAACAUAUGUUGAUAGAUUAUGAAUCUGGAUCUUCUAGCGACUCUGAAAAUGAGUAUAUCCACCGUUGUAUAACCGCCAUCAUCACGGAGGAACAACUACUCAAGGAAAAGUGUCAACCAAUCCAUCGCCACCAUUCCAGUUUGUUGAAAGAGUACUGAUUGUUUUGAAGCCCCAAGGAAAAGCACAAGCAACAAAGAUAUAGAUUGGUGGGAUAUGGUGAUUUUGUAGCAAGUAACGAUGGGUGUAAGGCUAAAGGUAUCUAUUUUAUAAAGACGACUUUUGACAAGGCGUUGCGGCUAGCACCAGAGUAAAAAAGGAUGAGCUUCUGAAGACGACUUUUGACAAGGCCUUGAGUGUUUUUUUAAGCUCCAUGAAGGUGUAUAACCAUAAAAGAGCGAACACAAAGAGGCCAGUCAACAAAUGCAAGUCAUGUAGUGGUAAUAAUGUUGUCAUUUUUAUCUCUCUUUAUCUACUACUUCUGAGUUUUAUAGCUCCAACAAAACUUGAAUAUAGCAAGGUCAAUUUUUUAUGUUAUCCAAUUAAGGAUGUAAAUGAGCUAAGCUAUUCAUGGGCUGCUUGAGAUUGGCUCACUAGAUAAAUAAAAGUGUUAAAGUA
Helianthus annuus (common sunflower) is the source of this 2246-nucleotide RNA transcript. It is a transcript of the gene named 26S proteasome regulatory subunit 8 homolog B-like, with no coding region annotated. Lineage: Eukaryota; Viridiplantae; Streptophyta; Magnoliopsida; Asterales; Asteraceae. The record is from RefSeq and is a predicted model, not a curated record. The transcript has 6 exons.